This 446-nucleotide ribosomal RNA is filed under the name uncultured bacterium. RNAcentral's name for it is "SSU rRNA". It matches the Rfam family "Bacterial small subunit ribosomal RNA", at positions 26 to 518 of the family's 1533-position model. The record is from RNAcentral.
AGGAUGAACGCUGGCGGUAUGCUUAACACAUGCAAGUCGAACGGAACCUUCGGGUUUAGUGGCGGACGGGUGAGUAACGCGUGAGAAUCUGCCUCUAGGUCGGGGACAACAAUUGGAAACGAUUGCUAAUACCCGAUGUGCAGCAAUGUGAAAGAUUUAUUGCCUAGAGAUGAGCUCGCGUCUGAUUAGCUAGUAGGUGUGGUAAUGGCGCACCUAGGCGACGAUCAGUAACUGGUCUGAGAGGAUGACCAGUCACACUGGGACUGAGACACGGCCCAGACUCCUACGGGAGGCAGCAGUGGGGAAUUUUCCGCAAUGGGCGAAAGCCUGACGGAGCAAUACCGCGUGAGGGACGAAGGCUUUUGGGUCGUAAACCUCUUUUCCCUGAGAAGAAGAUCUGACGGUAUCAGGGAAUCAGCAUCGGCUAACUUCGUGCCAGCAGCCGC